RNAcentral lists this ribosomal RNA (298 nucleotides) under uncultured Bacteriovorax sp. Its description in RNAcentral is "partial 16S ribosomal RNA". It matches the Rfam family "Bacterial small subunit ribosomal RNA", at positions 29 to 334 of the family's 1533-position model. The record is from RNAcentral. Lineage: Bacteria; Pseudomonadati; Bdellovibrionota; Bacteriovoracia; Bacteriovoracales; Bacteriovoracaceae.
AAUGAACGCUGGCGGCGUGCUUAACACAUGCAAGUCGAACGAGAAAGUACCUUCGGGUGCGAGUAGAGUGGCGCACGGGUGAGUAACACGUGGAUUACCUACCUAUAGGUGGGGGAUAACCAGGAGAAAUCCUGGCUAAUACCGCAUAUCUUGGCAACAAGAAAGGAUGCUUCGGCAUUCGCCAAUAGAUGGGUCCGCGGGACAUUAGCUUGAUGGUGGGGUAAUGGCCUACCAUGGCAACGAUGUCUAGCUGGUCUGAGAGGAUGAUCAGCCACACUGGAACUGAGACACGGUCCAG